GCCCAGCUGUCUCAGUUGGUGGAGCAUGAGAUUCUUGAACUCAGGAUUGUGAGAUCAAGCCCCAUGUUGGGCC
Molecule: transfer RNA, 73 nt
Filed under: Felis catus (domestic cat)
Lineage: Eukaryota; Metazoa; Chordata; Mammalia; Carnivora; Felidae
Rfam family: tRNA
About the family: Transfer RNA (tRNA) molecules are approximately 80 nucleotides in length. Their secondary structure includes four short double-helical elements and three loops (D, anti-codon, and T loops).
Source: Rfam by way of RNAcentral